UACGUAGGAUGCAAGCGUUGUCCGGAAUUAUUGGGCGUAAAGAGCGAGCAGGCGGUUCGACAAGUCAGAUGUAAAAUAUCCCGGCUUAACCGGGAGGGGCCAUUUGAAACUGUCGGACUAGAGUGGAGCAGAGGAUAGUGGAAUUCCCGGUGUAGUGGUGAAAUGCGUAGAUAUCGGGAGGAACACCAGUGGCGAAGGCGACUAUCUGGGCUUUAACUGACGCUGAGGCGCGAAGGCCGGGGGAGCAAACAGG
This 253-nucleotide ribosomal RNA is filed under the name uncultured bacterium. RNAcentral's name for it is "partial 16S ribosomal RNA". It matches the Rfam family "Bacterial small subunit ribosomal RNA", at positions 524 to 776 of the family's 1533-position model. The record is from RNAcentral.